RNAcentral lists this ribosomal RNA (950 nucleotides) under Prosthiostomum utarum. RNAcentral's name for it is "partial large subunit ribosomal RNA". It matches the Rfam family "Eukaryotic large subunit ribosomal RNA", at positions 107 to 865 of the family's 3401-position model. Lineage: Eukaryota; Metazoa; Platyhelminthes; Polycladida; Prosthiostomidae. The record is from RNAcentral.
GCCCAGCACCGAAUCCUUCACCGUAUUGGUGACAGGAAAUGUGGUGUUUAGGCCGUACCUUGUGCUGAUACGUCUCUCCUCAAGUCCACUUGAUUGUGGCCUCAGGCCCAGAGAGGGUGUAAGGCCCGUGGAGGCGAGAUGUUCAGUACCCGGUGCGUCCUUAGAGUCGGGUUGUUUGGGAAUGCAGCCCUAAGCGGGUGGUAAACUCCAUCCAAGGCUAAAUACUAGCACGAGUCCGAUAGCGAAGAAGUACCGCGAGGGAAAGUUGAAAAGAACUUUGAAGAGAGAGUUCAAGAGUACGUGAAACCGCUGAGAGGCAAACUGGUGGAGCUGAAAUGGCUUAGAGGAAUUCAGCCGUUGGGUAUUGUCAUAACUGUGUUGUGUCUGAUCUAACGACAGCGCGGCCGGUUAACGUCGAUUCCAUAGGUGCACUUUCCUCUCUAGCCCAACCACGACCGGUAUAGUGUGAUUGUCCGUCUCAUCUGGAAGGUAGCGCUGGCUACGGUGAGCGUAUUAUAGACAGAUGUAUGGAGCGAUUCGUGUACUGGAACAUAACGCCUGCCCUCAUUGGGCUCAUAUGUUGGUUGUUUUGUGAAUAAUCUCUGAUUUCACUACUUCGGUAGAGGAGUUGGAAUUGUUUGCCUUACGAUCGGCCUCUAUGAUUGGCGUUGAUACAGUCUGUGGUUGCGAAGUAGGUAGUCCACCUGACCCGUCUUGAAACACGGACCAAGGAGUCUAACAUGUGCGCGAGUCAUUGGGUUCUACGAAACCUAAAGGCGCAGUGAAGGUAAAGAUUCACAGUGGUGAAUUGAGGUGGGAUAUUGGGUUGCGUGCUCAAUCGCACCACCGGCCCGUUCCAUUUGUAUCUCAAAGGAGCGGAGCAAGAGCGUACACGUUGGGACCCGAAAGAUGGUGAACUAUGCUUGCGCAGGACGAAGCCAGAGAACUCU